RNAcentral lists this ribosomal RNA (1481 nucleotides) under uncultured Bordetella sp. Its description in RNAcentral is "partial 16S-23S ribosomal RNA intergenic spacer". It matches the Rfam family "Bacterial small subunit ribosomal RNA". Lineage: Bacteria; Pseudomonadati; Pseudomonadota; Betaproteobacteria; Burkholderiales; Alcaligenaceae. The record is from RNAcentral.
AGGGGUUCGAUCAUGGCUCAGAUUGAACGCUGGCGGAAUGCUUACAUGCAAGUCCGAACGGCAGCACGGACUUCGGUCUGGUGGCGAGUGGCAGACGGGUGAGUAAUGUAUCGGAACGUGCCUAGUAGCGGGGAUAACUACGCGAAAGCGUAGCUAAUGCCGCAUACGCCCUUCGGGAAAGCGGGGGACCUUCGGGCCUCGCACUAUUAGAGCGGCCGAUAUCGGAUUGGCUAGUUGGUGAAGUAACGGCUCACCAAGGCGACGAUCCGUAGCUGGUUUGAGAGGACGACCAGCCACACUGGGACUGAGACACGGCCCGAACUCCUGCAGGAGGCAGCAGUGAGAAUUUUGGACAAUGGGGAAACCUGAUCAGCCAUCCCGCGUGUGCGAUAGAGGCCUUCGGGUUGUAAAGCACUUUUGGCAGGAAAGAAGCAGCUUGCGGGAUAAUACCCCGUGCAACUGACAGUACCUGCAGAAUAAGCACCGGCUAACUACGUGCCAGCAGCCGCGGUAAUACGUAGGGUGCAAGCGUUAAUCGGAAUUACUGGGCGUAAAGCGUGCGCAGGCGGUUCGGAAGAAAGAUGUGAAAUCCCAGAGCUUAACUUUGGAACUGCAUUUUUAACUACCGAGCUAGAGUGUGUCAGAGGAGGUGGAAUUCCGCGUGUAGUAGUGAAAUGCGUAGAUAUGCGGAGGGGAACACCGAUGGCGAAGGCAGCCUCUGGGAUAACACUGACGCUCAUGCACGAAAGCGUAGAGCAAACGGGAUUAGGUAUUACCCUGGUAGUCCACGCCUAAACGAUGUCAACUAGCUGUUGGGGCCUGAGCCUUGGUAGCGCAGCAGCAGCGUGAAGUUGACCGCCUGGGGAUACGGUCGCAAGAUUAAAACUCAAAGGAAUUGACGGGGACCGCACAAGCGGUGGAUGAUGUGGAUUAAUUCGAUGCAACGCGAAAAACCUUACCUACCCUUGACAUGUCUGGAAUCCCGAAGAGAUUUAGGAGUGCUCGCAAGAGAACCGGAACACAGGUGCUGCAUGGCUGUCGUCAGCUCGUGUCGUGAGAUGUUGGAGUUAAGUCCGCAACGAGCGCAACCCUUGUCAUUAGUUGCUACGAAAGGGCACUCUAAUGAGACUGCCGGUGACAAACCGGAGGAAGGUGAGGAUGACGUCAAGUCCUCAUGGCCCCUUAUGGGUAGGGCUUCACACGUCAUACAAUGGUCGGGACAGAGGUCGCCAACCCGCGAGGGGAGCCAAUCCCAGAAACCCGAUCGUACAGUCCGGAUCGCAGUCUGCAACUCGACUGCGUGAAGUCGGAAUCGCUAGUAAUCGCGGAUCAGCAUGUCGCGGUGAAUACGUUCCCGGGUCUUGUACACACCGCCCGUCACACCAUGGGAGUGGGUUUUACCAGAAGUAGUUAGCCUAACCGUAAGGAGGGCGAUUACCACGGUAGGAUUCAUGACUGGGGUGAAGUCGUAACUGAGGUAG